UCUGGUACCUAGACAGCGACAUCUCCAAAGAAAUUGUGGAUUAUCGUAUGAGGGUCCACGUCUUUGGUAAUAGCCCCUCACCUGCAGUGGCUAUUAAUUGUCUACACCAGUCAGUGCAGGGCGAAGAGUUCCAUGUCGACCCGGAUGUUAAGCACUUUGUGAUGCGCGACUUUUAUGUUGAUGACGCUUUGAAGUCUGUUCCUGAUGUUGAAGCUGCUGUUGACUUGCUUAAAAGGACACAGGACACACUCUCUAGAUCAAACCUGAGGCUACAUAAAAUCGCAGCAAACAACAAAGACGUCAUGAAGGCUUUUCCGUCCAGAGAUCAUGCAAGUGACCUUAAGGACUUAGACCUUGGAGUAGAUCUGCUGCCAGUGCAGCGCAGUCUUGGACUCAGUUGGGACCUCCAAACAGACUGCUUCCUCUUCAGUGUAUCAGAUGAGAUAAAACCUUCCACUCGACGAGGUGUCUUAUCCACGGUUAACAGCCUCUACGAUCCUCUUGGGUUUGUAGCACCAGUUACAAUCCAGGGCAAGGAUAUUCUUAGAGAACUCACUGCUGAGAACAGUGACUGGGAUGCGCCAUUAACCCAAGAAAUGGAGGACAUUUGGGUGUCAUGGAGAACCUCUUUAGCAGAGCUGUCCAAUUUUUCUAUCCCCAGACCCUAUACUGAAACCUCACCUUCAGCGGCUGUCAGAAGAGAAUUGUGUGUCUUUUCAGACGCAUCAACCAAGGCUAUUGCUGCAGUGGCAUAUAUUAAAGUCACAGAUGUUGCUGGCAACAGUCAUGUCGGGUUUGUGAUGGGCAAAGCCAAGCUGGCCCCCCGGCCUGAGCACACAGUACCAAGAUUGGAACUUUGUGCCGCAGUGCUUGCUGUCGAGUUGGCAGACCUAAUCUCAGGAGAACUAGACCUUCAGAUUGAUGCCAUAACCUAUUACUCAGACAGCAAGGUCGUUUUGGGCUACAUUUCUAAUGAAACCAGACGCUUUUAUGUCUACGUCAAUAAUCGUGUACUUCGCAUCCGAAAAUCCUCCCAUCCAGACCAGUGGCACUAUGUGCCAACAGACCAGAAUCCAGCAGAUCAUGCAACUCGUUUUGUUACUGCAAGCCAUUUGAGAGACACAAACUGGUUAAGUGGACCCAAAUUUCUGUCGGCG
Molecule: long non-coding RNA, 1157 nt
Filed under: Astyanax mexicanus (Mexican tetra)
Lineage: Eukaryota; Metazoa; Chordata; Actinopteri; Characiformes; Acestrorhamphidae
Description: lncRNA (ENSAMXG00005002995.1)
Source: RNAcentral